GCUUAACACAUGCNAGUCGAACGAGCCUUCGGGCUAGUGGCGGACGGGUGAGUAACGCGUGGGAAUCUGCCCUCAGGAGGGGGAUAACGGCCGGAAACGGCCGCUAAUACCCCAUAUGCCGAGAGGUGAAACGAAUUUCGCCUGGGGAUGAGCCCGCGUCUGAUUAGCUAGUUGGUGAGGUAAUGGCUCACCAAGGCUUCGAUCAGUAGCUGGUCUGAGAGGAUGAUCAGCCACACUGGGACUGAGACACGGCCCAGACUCCUACGGGAGGCAGCAGUGGGGAAUUUUCCGCAAUGGGCGCAAGCCUGACGGAGCAACGCCGCGUGAGGGACGAAGGCCUCUGGGCUGUAAACCUCUUUUCUCAAGGAAGAAGACAUGACGGUACUUGAGGAAUAAGCCACGGCUAAUUCCGUGCCAGCAGCCGCGGUAAUACGGGAGUGGCAAGCGUUAUCCGGAAUUAUUGGGCGUAAAGCGUCCGCAGGCGGCCUUGAAAGUCUGUUGUUAAAGCGUGGAGCUCAACUCCAUUU
RNAcentral lists this ribosomal RNA (527 nucleotides) under uncultured cyanobacterium. RNAcentral's name for it is "bacterial SSU rRNA". It matches the Rfam family "Bacterial small subunit ribosomal RNA", at positions 46 to 620 of the family's 1533-position model. Lineage: Bacteria; Bacillati; Cyanobacteriota. The record is from RNAcentral.